CCUACGGGGGGCAGCAGUGGGGGAUAUUGCACAAUGGGGGAAACCCUGAUGCAGCGACGCCGCGUGUGGGAAGACGGUCCUCUGGAUUGUAAACCACUGUCCCCAGGGACGAAGAUGACGGUACCUGGGGAGGAAGCUCCGGCUAACUACGUGCCAGCAGCCGCGGUAAUACGUAGGGAGCGAGCGUUGUCCGGAAUUACUGGGUGUAAAGGGAGCGUAGGCGGGCGAGAAAGUUGAAUGUUAAAUCUACCGGCUUAACUGUAGCUGCGUUCAAAACUUCUUGUCUUGAGUGAAGUAGAGGCAGG
This 305-nucleotide ribosomal RNA is filed under the name uncultured bacterium. RNAcentral describes it as "bacterial SSU rRNA". It matches the Rfam family "Bacterial small subunit ribosomal RNA", at positions 338 to 661 of the family's 1533-position model. The record is from RNAcentral.